RNAcentral lists this ribosomal RNA (448 nucleotides) under uncultured bacterium. Its description in RNAcentral is "bacterial SSU rRNA". It matches the Rfam family "Bacterial small subunit ribosomal RNA", at positions 329 to 793 of the family's 1533-position model. The record is from RNAcentral.
GUCCAGACUCCUACGGGAGGCAGCAGUGGGGAAUAUUGCACAAUGGGGGGAACCCUGAUGCAGCGACGCCGCGUGAGUGAAGAAGUAUUUCGGUAUGUAAAGCUCUGUCAGCAGGGAAGAAGAAAGACGGUACCUGACCAAGAAGCCCCGGCUAACUACGUGCCAGCAGCCGCGGUAAUACGUAGGGGGCAAGCGUUAUCCGGAUUUACUGGGUGUAAAGGGAGCGUAGACGGUUAUGUAAGUCUGGAGUGAAAGCCCGGGGCCCAACCCCGGGACUGCUUUGGAAACUGUGCGGCUGGAGUGCAGGAGGGGUAAGCGGAAUUCCUAGUGUAGCGGUGAAAUGCGUAGAUAUUAGGAGGAACACCGGUGGCGAAGGCGGCUUACUGGACUGUAACUGACGUUGAGGCUCGAAAGCGUGGGGAGCAAACAGGAUUAGAUACCCCAGUAC